Molecule: ribosomal RNA, 1359 nt
Filed under: Triticum aestivum (bread wheat)
Lineage: Eukaryota; Viridiplantae; Streptophyta; Magnoliopsida; Poales; Poaceae
Description: bacterial LSU rRNA
Rfam family: Bacterial large subunit ribosomal RNA
Source: RNAcentral
CGAAGUGGUUGAUGCCAUGCUUCCAAGAAAAGCUUCUAAGCUUCAGGUAACCAGGAACCGUACCCCAAACCGACACAGGUGGUUGGGUAGAGAAUACCAAGGCGCUUGAGAGAACUCGGGUGAAGGAACUAGGCAAAAUGGCACCGUAACUUCGGGAGAAGGUGCGCCGGUGAGGGUGAAGGACUUGCUCCGUAAGCUCAUGCCGGUCGAAGAUACCAGGCCGCUGCGACUGUUUAUUAAAAACACAGCACUCUGCAAACACGAAAGUGGACGUAUAGGGUGUGACGCCUGCCCGGUGCCGGAAGGUUAAUUGAUGGGGUUAGCUAACGCGAAGCUCUUGAUCGAAGCCCCGGUAAACGGCGGCCGUAACAAUAACGGUCCUAAGGUAGCGAAAUUCCUUGUCGGGUAAGUUCCGACCUGCACGAAUGGCGUAACGAUGGCGGCGCUGUCUCCACCCGAGACUCAGUGAAAUUGAAAUCGCUGUGAAGAUGCAGUGUAUCCGCGGCUAGACGGAAAGACCCCGUGAACCUUUACUAUAGCUUUGCACUGGACUUUGAAUUUGCUUGUGUAGGAUAGGUGGGAGGCUUUGAAGCGUGGACGCCAGUCUGCGUGGAGCCAACCUUGAAAUACCACCCUGGCAACUUUGAGGUUCUAACUCAGGUCCGUUAUCCGGAUCGAGGACAGUGUAUGGUGGGUAGUUUGACUGGGGCGGUCUCCUCCUAAAGAGUAACGGAGGAGUACGAAGGUGCGCUCAGACCGGUCGGAAAUCGGUCGUAGAGUAUAAAGGCAAAAGCGCGCUUGACUGCGAGACAGACACGUCGAGCAGGUACGAAAGUAGGUCUUAGUGAUCCGGUGGUUCUGUAUGGAAGGGCCAUCGCUCAACGGAUAAAAGGUACUCCGGGGAUAACAGGCUGAUACCGCCCAAGAGUUCAUAUCGACGGCGGUGUUUGGCACCUCGAUGUCGGCUCAUCACAUCCUGGGGCUGAAGCCGGUCCCAAGGGUAUGGCUGUUCGCCAUUUAAAGUGGUACGCGAGCUGGGUUUAGAACGUCGUGAGACAGUUCGGUCCCUAUCUGCCGUGGACGUUUGAGAUUUGAGAGGGGCUGCUCCUAGUACGAGAGGACCGGAGUGGACGAACCUCUGGUGUUCCGGUUGUCACGCCAGUGGCAUUGCCGGGUAGCUAUGUUCGGAAUAGAUAACCGCUGAAAGCAUCUAAGCGGGAAACUUGCCUCAAGAUGAGAUCUCACUGGAACCUUGAGUUCCCUGAAGGGCCGUCGAAGACUACGACGUUGAUAGGUUGGGUGUGUAAGCGCUGUGAGGCGUUGAGCUAACCAAUACUAAUUGCCCGUGAGGCUUGACCA